RNAcentral lists this ribosomal RNA (1400 nucleotides) under Klebsiella pneumoniae. RNAcentral describes it as "bacterial SSU rRNA". It matches the Rfam family "Bacterial small subunit ribosomal RNA". The record is from RNAcentral. Lineage: Bacteria; Pseudomonadati; Pseudomonadota; Gammaproteobacteria; Enterobacterales; Enterobacteriaceae.
CAGUCGAGCGGUAGCACAGAGAGCUUGCUCUCGGGUGACGAGCGGCGGACGGGUGAGUAAUGUCUGGGAAACUGCCUGAUGGAGGGGGAUAACUACUGGAAACGGUAGCUAAUACCGCAUAACGUCGCAAGACCAAAGUGGGGGACCUUCGGGCCUCAUGCCAUCAGAUGUGCCCAGAUGGGAUUAGCUAGUAGGUGGGGUAACGGCUCACCUAGGCGACGAUCCCUAGCUGGUCUGAGAGGAUGACCAGCCACACUGGAACUGAGACACGGUCCAGACUCCUACGGGAGGCAGCAGUGGGGAAUAUUGCACAAUGGGCGCAAGCCUGAUGCAGCCAUGCCGCGUGUGUGAAGAAGGCCUUCGGGUUGUAAAGCACUUUCAGCGGGGAGGAAGGCGGUGAGGUUAAUAACCUUGUCGAUUGACGUUACCCGCAGAAGAAGCACCGGCUAACUCCGUGCCAGCAGCCGCGGUAAUACGGAGGGUGCAAGCGUUAAUCGGAAUUACUGGGCGUAAAGCGCACGCAGGCGGUCUGUCAAGUCGGAUGUGAAAUCCCCGGGCUCAACCUGGGAACUGCAUUCGAAACUGGCAGGCUAGAGUCUUGUAGAGGGGGGUAGAAUUCCAGGUGUAGCGGUGAAAUGCGUAGAGAUCUGGAGGAAUACCGGUGGCGAAGGCGGCCCCCUGGACAAAGACUGACGCUCAGGUGCGAAAGCGUGGGGAGCAAACAGGAUUAGAUACCCUGGUAGUCCACGCCGUAAACGAUGUCGAUUUGGAGGUUGUGCCCUUGAGGCGUGGCUUCCGGAGCUAACGCGUUAAAUCGACCGCCUGGGGAGUACGGCCGCAAGGUUAAAACUCAAAUGAAUUGACGGGGGCCCGCACAAGCGGUGGAGCAUGUGGUUUAAUUCGAUGCAACGCGAAGAACCUUACCUGGUCUUGACAUCCACAGAACUUUCCAGAGAUGGAUUGGUGCCUUCGGGAACUGUGAGACAGGUGCUGCAUGGCUGUCGUCAGCUCGUGUUGUGAAAUGUUGGGUUAAGUCCCGCAACGAGCGCAACCCUUAUCCUUUGUUGCCAGCGGUUCGGCCGGGAACUCAAAGGAGACUGCCAGUGAUAAACUGGAGGAAGGUGGGGAUGACGUCAAGUCAUCAUGGCCCUUACGACCAGGGCUACACACGUGCUACAAUGGCAUAUACAAAGAGAAGCGACCUCGCGAGAGCAAGCGGACCUCAUAAAGUAUGUCGUAGUCCGGAUUGGAGUCUGCAACUCGACUCCAUGAAGUCGGAAUCGCUAGUAAUCGUAGAUCAGAAUGCUACGGUGAAUACGUUCCCGGGCCUUGUACACACCGCCCGUCACACCAUGGGAGUGGGUUGCAAAAGAAGUAGGUAGCUUAACCUUCGGGAGGGC